UACGUAGGGGGCAAGCGUUGUCCGGAUUCAUUGGGCGUAAAGAGCGUGUAGGCGGCCAGGUAGGUCGGUUGUGAAAACUGGAGGCUCAACCUUCAGAGGUCGACCGAAACCAUCUGGCUAGAGUCCGGGAGAGGAGAGUGGAAUUCCUAGUGUAGAGGUGAAAUUCGUAGAUAUUAGGAAGAACACCGGUGGCGAAGGCGGCCCACUGGCUCGAUACUGACGCUGAGGUGCGAAAGCGUGGGGAGCAAACAGG
Molecule: ribosomal RNA, 253 nt
Filed under: uncultured bacterium
Lineage: Bacteria
Description: partial 16S ribosomal RNA
Rfam family: Bacterial small subunit ribosomal RNA
Source: RNAcentral